GCUUGUCUCAAAGAUUAAGCCAUGCAUGUCUUAGUGUAAAUAACUCUUAUGAAACUGCGAAUGGCUCAUUAAAUCAGUUAUCAAAUACGUGAUGGUCGCCUACUACAUGGAUAACCGUAGUAAUUCUAGAGCUAAUACAUGCUAAAAACCCCAACUUCGGAAGGGGUGUAUUUAUUAGAUUAAAAGCCAAUGCCCUUCGGGGCUCAAUGGUGAUUCAUAAUAACUUCACGGAUCGCACGGCCUUGCGCCGGCGAUGGUUCAUUCAAAUUUCUUCCCUAUCAACUUUCGAUGUUUGGGUCUUGGCCAAACAUGGUGGCAACGGGUAACGGAGGGUUAGGGCUCGACCCCGGAGAAGGAGCCUGAGAAACGGCUACUACAUCCAAGGAAGGCAGCAGG
RNAcentral lists this ribosomal RNA (396 nucleotides) under Valsonectria roseola. RNAcentral's name for it is "Acremonium roseolum partial small subunit ribosomal RNA". It matches the Rfam family "Eukaryotic small subunit ribosomal RNA", at positions 30 to 432 of the family's 1831-position model. Lineage: Eukaryota; Fungi; Ascomycota; Sordariomycetes; Hypocreales; Valsonectriaceae. The record is from RNAcentral.